RNAcentral lists this ribosomal RNA (807 nucleotides) under Triticum aestivum (bread wheat). RNAcentral describes it as "partial small subunit ribosomal RNA". The record is from RNAcentral. Lineage: Eukaryota; Viridiplantae; Streptophyta; Magnoliopsida; Poales; Poaceae.
CCUGACGCCCAUAUGUUACAACGUUAAAAUACAUAUAAUUUAGAAUCUUGCUAUAAUUAAGCUUUGAUCUUGCCAAGAAGAGAGAAAGAUCAAACGCAUACUCAUAUAAUUAAGCUCUUUUUGCGAUGAGGUCUUCACACAAGAUUAUCACAGAACCCAACAAGUUUUAUUCAUAACAUUAUAUAGACAAGGCACGAACAUACCAUGAAGAUACAAUACAAUGAAAAAGAAUGUCGAACAAACCAAAAAGAGGCAAGAGCUAGAACACUCAUCGAACCACCGCCGAUCUCUCAAAGGAAAUACUCUCUGCUCCACUCCAUCCAUCCAACCCAAAGGUGCGACCAUCAUCUACUGCAUCAUCGCCGCCGCCAGAAGGGACACCAGUGCCGAGGACACCACGGCCAACGCGGACACGCUGGCGGCCGCGCCGGCGUCAGGCGCCGGAGCAGGGGCCGAGGAAGGCGCCGUGAAGUCCUGCGCCGACGCAGAGGCGAAGAAGACGGCCACGGCCAGGAGCAGCACGGCGACGCGUGGAGCCAUGACGACCUUGCGCUGUAGUAGCUUGCGGGCUUGCUAGUUGAUCGAAGAAUCGGCGAGGAGGAGAAUGGGUAAUCUGGGUGGGAUGCGGGGAUGAAGGGGGCACCGUGGGGUUUUAUAGCUGGCCGGCCCGUCGGUUCGGUGGUCGCGCUCUUACGUUCUACAGGGGGCAGGAAUCGGGCGUGCGUAGUAGCACGACGCGUUCGGUCGGUCGCGCGAGGUGGGAACGCACGUUGCGGUUCGGCGCGGCCGGCGUGGGGAGUUUCCGCG